UACGAAGGGGGCUAGCGUUGUUCGGAAUUACUGGGCGUAAAGCGCACGUAGGCGGAUAUUUAAGUCAGGGGUGAAAUCCCAGAGCUCAACUCUGGAACUGCCUUUGAUACUGGGUAUCUCGAGUAUGGAAGAGGUGAGUGGAAUUCCGGGUGUAGAGGUGAAAUUCGUAGAUAUUCGGAGGAACACCAGUGGCGAAGGCGGCUCACUGGUCCAUUACUGACGCUGAGGUGCGAAAGCGUGGGGAGCAAACAGG
This 253-nucleotide ribosomal RNA is filed under the name uncultured bacterium. Its description in RNAcentral is "partial 16S ribosomal RNA". It matches the Rfam family "Bacterial small subunit ribosomal RNA", at positions 524 to 776 of the family's 1533-position model. The record is from RNAcentral.